RNAcentral lists this unclassified non-coding RNA (366 nucleotides) under rhizosphere metagenome. RNAcentral's name for it is "partial ribosomal RNA internal transcribed spacer region". The record is from RNAcentral.
CUUAGCAGGCAACAUCUCUACUGUGCUAGAAUUUACAUUUGUAUUACUAGCAGCUCAUAUGAGUUCACAGGUCAAAUAGAGGUGGCCCUCUUCAGGGUUAAGAUAUGAUCGAGUUGAUGCUGAAAUAGCUUUGAGGAAUUGGAACCUGCGGAAGGAUCAUUAAAGAGUCAAUGACAGUUGGGGCAACCUAGCUUGUUAUAACACUCCACCCUCUGUUUAUUUUACCUUUGUUGCUUUGGCAGGUCCGUCUUAGGACCACCGGCUUUCGCUGGUCAGCACCUGCCAGAGGACCUAAAACUCAUAAUAAUAAUAUUGUCUGAAUACUAUAUAAUAGUUAAAACUUUCAACAACGGAUCUCUUGGUUCU